Molecule: non-coding RNA, 275 nt
Filed under: Clostridiales bacterium
Lineage: Bacteria; Bacillati; Bacillota; Clostridia; Eubacteriales
Description: T-box sequence
Rfam family: T-box leader
About the family: Uncharged tRNA acts as the effector for transcription antitermination of genes in the T-box leader family. T-boxes are found upstream of many aminoacyl-tRNA synthetase genes and some amino acid biosynthetic genes usually in Gram-positive bacteria. The anticodon of a specific tRNA base pairs to a specifier sequence within the T-box motif, and the NCCA acceptor tail of the tRNA base pairs to a conserved bulge in the T-box antiterminator hairpin.
Source: RNAcentral
GAAAAGGUGUUGAGAAAGAGGAGUACACAGCACACCCUUGAAAGAGAGAAUGGUUCAUCGGCUGAAAGACCGUUUAAAGAAGGCGUUGUGGAAGGUAGCUUUUGAACCGGAGAACUGAAAGUGUAGGAAAAAUGGAUUUGCAGGAGGUGCAAAUAUUAGAGAUACGAUAAGUAGGUUUUCACGUCUGGUCUGCGUUAUAAGACCGAGAGAUUGCCAAUCAUGAUAAGAAGAGAUUGGCGAAAUAAGGUGGUACCGCGUAACAAUACGCCCUUUGC